RNAcentral lists this ribosomal RNA (522 nucleotides) under uncultured bacterium. RNAcentral describes it as "partial 16S ribosomal RNA". It matches the Rfam family "Bacterial small subunit ribosomal RNA", at positions 355 to 861 of the family's 1533-position model. The record is from RNAcentral.
UGGGGAAUCUUCCGCAAUGGACGAAAGUCUGACGGAGCAACGCCGCGUGUAUGAUGAAGGUCUUCGGAUUGUAAAGUACUGUCAUUGGGGAAGAACGGUUUUCUUGAAAAGAUUGAGAAGACAUGACGGUACCCAAGGAGGAAGCCCCGGCUAACUACGUGCCAGCAGCCGCGGUAAUACGUAGGGGGCAAGCGUUGUCCGGAAAUUAUUGGGCGUAAAAGGGCGCGUAGGCGGGCCUUUAAGUCCGGUGUGAAAGAUCAGGGCUCAACCCUGAGAGUGCAUCGGAAACUGGAGGCCUUGAGGACAGGAGAGGAAAGUGGAAUUCCACGUGUAGCGGUGAAAUGCGUAGAUAUGUGGAGGAACACCAGUGGCGAAGGCGACUUUCUGGACUGUAACUGACGCUGAGGCGCGAAAGCGUGGGGAGCAAAACAGGAUUAGAUACCCUGGUAGUCCACGCCGUAAAACGAUGAGUGCUAGGUGUAGAGGGUAUCGACCCCCUUCUGUGCCGCAGUUAAACACAAU